Molecule: unclassified non-coding RNA, 396 nt
Filed under: soil metagenome
Description: partial contains 5.8S ribosomal RNA, internal transcribed spacer 2, and large subunit ribosomal RNA
Rfam family: 5.8S ribosomal RNA (bases 1-122)
Source: RNAcentral
GAUGAAGAACGCAGCGAAAUGCGAUACUUGGUGUGAAUUGCAGAAUCCCGUGAACCAUCGAGUCUUUGAACGCAAGUUGCGCCCGAAGCCAUUAGGCCGAGGGCACGCCUGCCUGGGUGUCACACACCGUUACCCUCGCGCCAACGUCCAUCGUUGGCCGCGGCGCGGGGCGUGCGCUGACCUCCCGCGAGCGGGGUCUCGUGGUUGGUUGAAAAUCGAGUUCGCGGUCGAGGGUGCCGUGAUGAAAUGGUGGAUGGGCGACGCCCGAGGCCAAUCACGCGCGACUCCGUCCGGCUCGGACUCCUGGACCCCUUCGGCGUCUCCGGACGCUCUUUGGCGAGACCUCAGGUCAGGCGGGGCUACCCGCUGAGUUUAAGCAUAUCAAUAAGCGGAGGA